UACGGAGGGGGCAAGCGUUGUUCGGAAUUACUGGGCGUAAAGCGCGCGUAGGCGGUUGGUCUAGUCAGGCGUGAAAGCCCCGGGCUUAACCCGGGAACUGCGCUUGAUACUGGCCAACUAGAGUCCGGGAGAGGAGAGUGGAAUUCCCAGUGUAGAGGUGAAAUUCGUAGAUAUUGGGAAGAACACCAGUGGCGAAGGCGGCUCUCUGGACCGGUACUGACGCUGAGGUGCGAAAGCGUGGGGAGCAAACAGG
This 253-nucleotide unclassified non-coding RNA is filed under the name uncultured Alphaproteobacteria bacterium. RNAcentral's name for it is "contains 16S-23S intergenic spacer region". It matches the Rfam family "Bacterial small subunit ribosomal RNA", at positions 524 to 776 of the family's 1533-position model. The record is from RNAcentral. Lineage: Bacteria; Pseudomonadati; Pseudomonadota; Alphaproteobacteria.